UAAAAAGGCAUUGGUAUUAUAAAAACCCACAGUUUUGUAUUUUGAGACUAACCACUAUUUCAUCUGAGAUUAGUCAUUCACAUUUUUCCUCUUGAUAUGUAAACAAAAUGUGCAGCAAGGGAGUCUUGGAUCUUGACAUUUUACAAUGACCUCCUGUGACUUCUCCAUUUCAUUGGGUCCACAACAGCAGAAGGGGGUGGACGGGUGGUUCUUCAGUCUGAGUACAAACAGACCACAGUCUUAUUGACUACAGCUUCCAUUGUUUGGGUACGAGAUAAUGCUGCAUAAGGACAACCAGACUGUUGGCGAGAUCUGAACUGUCCUCUCUGAGUUAUCAAAGUAAGGAGGAAAUGCCGUGGAGAGAAGACAACAGGAACUAUAAAUGCUGCUUAUAAUUGUUCACCUGGAAAUGUUCUUAAUUUGACAGGUUUGUGCACCACAUCCCUUAUGAUGUGUGAGAGGUUUCCUGCUGUGGUCCCUGCUCAGAAUCCAUCUGCUAUAAGACCAGGACACUCAAAUGAUUCUNGAAUCUGGACCCACAGAGAGAACGCGACGUUUCCUUUAUCGCCGGCGCCCGCGGGAUGGCGCUAUUUGAACAAGCAAUUACUUGUAAGACCGNAUCUUCUCGCCGUUACAGGCAGCAUUGACUGCAACAACGAAAAUGGUUGGUACAGUAGUACAGGACACGUUUUCAAGGGACCACCCGUUUACACCAUGGAGUGUCGUGAUUCGCUCCCUGUUGCCACAGAGGCUUCCGGAGUCACUGGGACGAACGACAGAUGCCGACGACGAGUCCAGCUCCACGUCCUGGGGUGGGAGUGUGAAAACUUGAGGAACACACUUAUGGGUUAAGGAGUUUGCUGGGAUCUCCUGCUCCGCGCCGGGGCGGGCCGGCGACAAAGGCCACUUCUUUCGUCCANUGGUUACGACGAGGCCAGAUAGAUUCUGAGGUCAAUAGGGAGUCUCGUCUCUGGCUGGAGGGUCUGCUCAUUUUCGCGACUGCCCUCCCUUGGCCCUCUCCACUCUGAGUCACAAGUUGCUCCAAGUUGCCGUCCUUGGAUGCCCGCAAAGGGUUACACCUCGGACGGACAUCUCAAUCAUUAAUUAUUUAAUAGGCACGGGGCUGGAGUGAUAUUGGCCGCUGGUGUAGGAUAAACUUCCAAGAAGGGGUGGUGGAGAGGUUUAUUUGGUGAGCCCCUUUAUUUCCCACUUCCAAUCCCGCCCCAGAACGUCAGGUUUUCGGUUUUGCUUUGCUUUCUGCUAUAUGAGAAAACAGACGGACUUUCUUUCUUCUCCUUCUCUUUUUAGUGUUUUUCGCAAAUGAAAGCGAAAGUCGUCGUCGUCGUCCUCUGGCGAACAGACAGCAAAGCUCCGCCAGGCUGAGCACAAAUGACCAAUACUGUACAUUCUCCCCCUUUACUCCGACGUCCUUUUGGCUAGAAGUGUAUGUCUAUGUCUCCUAGGCGGCUUCCCCUCAAAUGGUGGUCGCUAGAGCAGCCGUGGAUAUUUCUUCAUCCAAUAAACAUUGGAGAAGGGGCGGUGAGACA
Long non-coding RNA from Salvator merianae (Argentine black and white tegu), 1547 nucleotides. Lineage: Eukaryota; Metazoa; Chordata; Lepidosauria; Squamata; Teiidae. The record is from Ensembl.